RNAcentral lists this microRNA (20 nucleotides) under Callithrix jacchus (white-tufted-ear marmoset). Its description in RNAcentral is "cja-miR-548u". Its record names the gene cja-miR-548u. Lineage: Eukaryota; Metazoa; Chordata; Mammalia; Primates; Cebidae. The record is from miRBase by way of RNAcentral.
GAGACUGCAGUUACUUUUGC